This 92-nucleotide transfer RNA is filed under the name Cognatundibacterium oligocarboniphilum. RNAcentral describes it as "Undibacterium oligocarboniphilum tRNA-Ser". It matches the Rfam family "tRNA". Rfam says of the family: Transfer RNA (tRNA) molecules are approximately 80 nucleotides in length. Their secondary structure includes four short double-helical elements and three loops (D, anti-codon, and T loops). The record is from RNAcentral. RNAcentral also lists the same sequence under 19 other names. Lineage: Bacteria; Pseudomonadati; Pseudomonadota; Betaproteobacteria; Burkholderiales; Oxalobacteraceae.
GGAGACGUGGCCGAGUGGCCGAAGGCACUUCCCUGCUAAGGAAGCAUCUGGGGUAACCUGGAUCGUGAGUUCGAAUCUCACCGUCUCCGCCA